GAUGAACGCUGGCGGCGUGCUUAACACAUGCAAGUCGAACGGAAAGGCUCCUGCUUGCAGGGGUACUCGAGUGGCGAACGGGUGAGUAACACGUGGGUGAUCUGCCCUGCACUUCGGGAUAAGCCUGGGAAACUGGGUCUAAUACCGGAUAGGACCACAUUUUGGAUGGUGUGGUGGAAAGUUUUUCGGUGUGGGAUGAGCUCGCGGCCUAUCAGCUUGUUGGUGGGGUAAUGGCCUACCAAGGCGUCGACGGGUAGCCGGCCUGAGAGGGUGUACGGCCACAUUGGGACUGAGAUACGGCACAGACUCCUACGGGAGGCAGGAGUGGGGAAUAUUGCACAAUGGGGGCAAGCGUGAUGCAGCGACGCCGCGUGGGGGAUGACGGCCUUCGGGUUGUAAACUCCUUUCGCUAGGGACGAAGCGCAAGUGACGGUACCUGGAGAAGAAGCACCGGCUAACUACG
This 463-nucleotide ribosomal RNA is filed under the name uncultured bacterium. RNAcentral's name for it is "partial 16S ribosomal RNA". It matches the Rfam family "Bacterial small subunit ribosomal RNA", at positions 28 to 505 of the family's 1533-position model. The record is from RNAcentral.